Molecule: ribosomal RNA, 482 nt
Filed under: uncultured bacterium
Lineage: Bacteria
Description: partial 16S ribosomal RNA
Rfam family: Bacterial small subunit ribosomal RNA
Source: RNAcentral
AUUGAACGCUGGCGGCAUGCCUUACACAUGCAAGUCGAACGGUAACGGGCCUUCGGGUGCCGACGAGUGGCGAACGGGUGAGUAAUACAUCGGAACGUGCCCGAUCGUGGGGGAUAACGAGGCGAAAGCUUUGCUAAUACCUCAUACGAUCUACGGAUGAAAGCAGGGGACCGCAAGGCCUUGCGCGGACGGAGCGGCCGAUGGCGGAUUAGGUAGUUGGUGGGGUAAAAGCUUACCAAGCCGACGAUCUGUAGCUGGUCUGAGAGGAUGAUCAGCCACACUGGGACUGAGACACGGCCCAGACUCCUACGGGAGGCAGCAGUGGGGAAUUUUGGGCAAUGGGCGCAAGCCUGAUCCAGCCAUGCCGCGUGCAGGAUGAAGGCCUUCGGGUUGUAAACUGCUUUUGUACGGAACGAAAAGCCUUCUUUUAAUACAGGAGGGUCAUGACGGUACCGUAAGAAUAAGCACCGGCUAACUACGUG